UAUUUGGUGACAUAGGAACAAAUCCCGCAUUGUCACCACUACGAGAAGCGGUGAUUCGAUCGGAGAGAUCAGGUGGCGAGUCCUGAUGGGAAUUGAAUUGCUGAGAUGAGUCGGGAUGUGGCUUAUCGUCGGAUUCUGAUGGAAGGGUUUGGGUCCGACCAGUGAUAAGAGCUAAUCGAUCGCCGCCUCUCUCGAGGAUCUUCCUCCUCCUAGAUUCUCUGGUAGCGGCGGUGUUCGUUGCCAUACCCGCUUUGGUGUACAACGGAGAAGAAGACCGUUACCGUCAGUCACACAAUAUUACCAAUAUACCAUUAUAUGGAGAAAUCAAGCAUCCAAUAGCCACUAUUGCCUCUUUUCG
RNAcentral lists this unclassified non-coding RNA (358 nucleotides) under Hevea brasiliensis (rubber tree). Lineage: Eukaryota; Viridiplantae; Streptophyta; Magnoliopsida; Malpighiales; Euphorbiaceae. The record is from RNAcentral.